CUGCCUCAAAUGUGACGUUGUUCCCAAGCUCUUACGUCGGCCCAAAUCCUCCGCCUCCGUCGACGACUAUGAUGACGACGACGACGAAAUAGACGGCGGCAGCAGCAGUAAUGGAAGAGAAGCAUGCUUCACACCAUCAUGCGCCACGCCAAUUCGGCCUGUCCUGUCCUGUUUCACAUCGAGAAAGAAACAGCGUUCAGUCAGGACAAUCGUCGAACACGUGGAGUGCACUCAAAACAACACCCAUCGUGGCCAUCACAAUCACCGUCGUCUCAACCUGGAAGCGGAAUUAAUCGCCGAACCAAUCAAUGCCAGGUCGAAAUCGUUUGUUGGAACGCACGAGUACUUAGCUCCGGAAGUGAUCUCCG
This 368-nucleotide long non-coding RNA is filed under the name Linum usitatissimum (flax). RNAcentral describes it as "long non-coding RNA (LUSI_LNC001308)". The record is from RNAcentral. Lineage: Eukaryota; Viridiplantae; Streptophyta; Magnoliopsida; Malpighiales; Linaceae.